UGAUUAUUACGGAAUGCGAAUUUUUCGUUACAGUUUACUCAAUCUAGUACUACACUCUGUGUGUUCACCUCAAACAAUGUGGGUAACACUCUCCUCUUUCCAGCAGUUCUCAACAGAAGACGCUCCAAAGUCUAUGCAAACAACUUGGAGCAGAAGAUGUCGGACAUGGAGGUAGCCCGGUUCGGGCUAAGUCAACGCAAGGCCAAGAAGCUGCUCUACCGGGGGUUCGAGUACGUCAAAGAUCGAGACUUUCCCGACUCGACUAAUUGGCGGUGUGCUUUGUUCCGGUGCCAGAAAUACCGUGUUCGUGCGAUAACCACUGCCAUCGAAAGCGUUACCUACGUAAGGCUGACCAACGACCAACACAAUCAUGAUUUACAAAUGUAUCGCAAGGACUCGCUACUAAUGCCGAGGGUGGGAUAAUGAAUAGGCGGGAGGCCGUUCUGUUAAAUAAGAUUAGUCAAAUUCUGUGAAUCCCUUUAGUACUUACAAUAUCACGCUGCAAUGGACAAAUAUAUUGUUUACUAAUUAUUUGGAUAUUUCAGUAACUACUGGAAUUUAACCUAAGUUCAACAAUAAUUACACAUUGUAUAUUUAUUUGUUGCAGGUUGGAACACGAAGACACUGAAUGCUGCUUGCCACAAAAGGAAGAACAAGUCCAGAUUUGUAGGUAGGUCAAUGUACAGUAAUCACUGUUUCAAAAUUAAGAUCGAAUGAUCAGAUUUUAAAAACUAUUUGACGCAUUGGAAGAAUAUUCUGUCACACACACUUUAACCCAAGUAACUAUUUUUAGUCAAAUAGACUUGAGAGGCUCUAAGAGCAAUCAUAAUAAUAAAAGGGAUGAGGUUUUAUGAUGGUUCUCAAAUCCUCUACAGGACUCAUAAAUCAUUAAAAUGUUACUUGAGACACACUUUUCAUUCAACCAAUUAAAUUAUAUGUGCAAUCCUGCGUAUUUUUCGCCACAUUUUCAAAGGCAACGUAUGACAGUGACGUUCACUUUUACAUGAUACAUGUGGACGUUUCAACUUUCGUUGACAGUAGAACUAAUUUUCCACGUAAGAUGGCUAACAUAACUCUUGAAAGAUGUACCUUUCAAAGUAACUUCGGAAACCGUUUAGUUAGUACAUAAUUUGAUCUGAAGUAAAGCGAAAUUCUGAAGACAUUUAUUAAAAAUUAGGCUAUAUCCAUUGCAGUUCCAUUUAAUGUAAAUUCAAUCCAACUGUUGCCGCGAAUUGGGAAGUGUUUGAGUGAAACUGGCAUCACUGCCAUAUAGAUAGGUGUUAUCUGAAAAAUGGAACAGCCUACAAAGAUCUAGCAGUUUUGUUGGAUAGGUUGCGUCUCUAGUAGGAUCGAUGUAAAACUAUUAUGUAAGAUAAUUAUUGUUAUUUUUAAGUGUAUAUUAUAUCAUUGUUUAAAUAUAUUACAGCAUUGAAGCAGAUGUGAAGUACACACUGCUAUCAAUAUGUGUUUCGUCGAAAUAGGGACAACGUUCCCCAACACCAAUUUUUUGCUUAAUCUAAUCUAAAACCAAUGUGAAUCAAUAAUGAUUUUUCCUUUUUCUUUCUGCAGGACCACAUACAAGAAUAUUAGACCCGUCCUGCCACAUGAUCAGUUACAGUUUCAGUGAAACGGGUAAAGCCAUAGUCACCAUCGAUGGGUACAGGUUCCGAAGAUCCUCAGCACAGGGAUCGAGAAUCUACUGGAAAUGUUCCAGAGUCAAAACCAAAAAGUGCUCAGCCAGAAUUACCACUUCCGUUAAGGCCGCACGGGACGACGUGUAAUUUUUACUAUCUUUUCUCUCUUUCUAACAAUUUGCCUCGCGAUUUUGAAGAAGGAAAUGUCAAUUUCUACUGCACUGACGUAGCUGAAACUUUAGUCGAUUGUUCACCAAAAGUGAGCAAAUGAACGAUCAAAUUUCUAGUCGAAAAUAUGAAGUAGAAGUUGAGAUUUGCAUCUUUUUAACGACAGAGCAAUGGCGGACGAUUCAGCCACCGUCCCGUCCGGCCUUAAUAGUUCGAAAAUUUUCUACAGCAUUCGGCCUCACACUCAUCCACCGGACGUCUAGAAAUAAGUCAGUUGAUGAUUUGGGAAAAUAAAGCACAAUGAUGAAACUCACUGUGAUGGAAUCCGAGCCAUUUUGUGCAUCGAACUGUUCUAAAUGGUCGUUUCAAAUAUAUGUCUCUUGGCUCGUGCAGGGUAGCGACAUGGUAUUUCCGAUUGUAGAUGGCCCACCUAACUAGUGUUGGAUAUGAGAAUGGCGAUGGUCUUACAUGACUUCCAGCGUUGCUGAUAUCUACUGGCGUUAUUUUGUACUCACAUUUUCUUUUCAUUUUUUUCAGGUUUCAAUCCGUGGGCAUUGAAUUUUGUAAACCGUACAAGAGGUUCCACAUUUAUAAAACGGCGAUCGAGAAUAUUGGACCCGUCUUGUCAUACGAUCAGUCAUGGUUUCAGUCAAAUGGGUAAAACCAUUAUCACCAUCGAUGGGUACAGCUUCGGGAGGUCUUUCUCCCAGGGAACGAGAAUCUACUGGAAAUGCACCAAAGUCGUAAUCGAAAAGUGUCCUGCCAGAAUUACCACGUGCGUCAAUAGUUCCAAUAUAAUCCAUGGUGUUCGACCUCAUAAUCAUCCGCCGUACGUUUAGGCAUGAAUCGCUAGAUGAUUUUAGAAAAUAAAGCGCAAUGACCAAGAUGUUUGCAGUGCAAAACGUGUAUUUCGAACAGCUGUCUCCUUUCAUCAAUCAUAUCUAACACACAUAUAUUCAAUGUUCGUUUUCCACAACAGCCGAAACUGCAAGGAAGUACCAGAACCCUCCGGCGGAAUCAGAUAGCGACAGCGAUGCCGGUUUCUAUCGAUCAAUGUCCUUGCCCUCCCCGUUGGAUCUGCGAGUGGUGGUGGGUCGUACGGGACGCCCGACGUUGCUGAUGGGUGGCCACGUGUUUACUCGCAAUAACACUCACAAAGAUAAAACCUACUGGUUGUGCUCGAAGAGUCGUUCGCUCAAGUGCCGCGCCCGGAUAAUUACCCUGGACGGUAGUGGAGGUCUGGUUCUCAAGAAUCAGAUCCAUAACCAUUCGGCGGGUGGAAAUCGCUAGUGCAGAUGUAAAAAUAAAGAAUAAAACACUAGAUUUUUUGUUUUUUUUUUCAUAUCAUUUAUACAUGCCGUACUAGAUUCUUCGAUUUCUCACUAACCACCGCCUAAUUCUCACCCCUUACAGGAAAAAUCGUCGUCAAGGAAAAGUCAACGGAAGAAAAGUUCUUUUUCGUCCGCACCGCCGAUGGUCGCUAUAAAAUUCAUGCAAAUGCCCCUUCAUCAAAAAUCAAGAAGGAAAAAGCACAUCCACAGCCAAAAAUGGUUAAUACUGGAACCAGACUGAUCCGAUCUGGAAUCAUCUUUCCCCUUAACGAAGGAACGGAAGUGGAACAGUUGGAACAACUUGUGAACAAGGAUUCCAUAAUCAGACAGGAAUAUAUUAAUGUUCUGAAGCUUAAGCCAAGGGAUACGCAAAUCGUCCAUUACAUGCACAACGUUUUCACGGACGAUUCACUUAUUGACUACAAUUACAGUAAUGGCCAUGGCAAACGCGCCAUGCGAAUGUACGACAUAUUUUUCAAAUGCUUCAUGGAAGCGUACGAAGCGGAGGAACUUACAGAGUUUGAGCUUGCCUACCAGCUGACGUCGGCGAUCAAGCAAAGUCGAAACCGGUUGCGGCAGCGCAUGUUCCGCGCUAGGAAAAUUGUGAAAGUAAGUUGUGAAAAGAGAAAGCGAACUCCAUAACCAUCCUGCGGGUGGAAAGCGCUAGUGCAGAUGUAAAAAUAAAGAAUGAAACCAGUCCUUUUCUUUUCAUUUAUUAUAUCUACAUACAGUACUAGAUUCUUCGAUUUCUCACUAACCACGCCCUAAUUCUCACCUCUUACAGGAAAAAUAAUUGCCAAGGAAAAGUCAACGGAAGAAAACUUUUAUUUCGUCCGCACCGCCGAUGGUCGCUAUAAAAUUCAUGCAAAUGCCCCUUCAUCAAAAAUCAAGAAGGAAAAAGCACAUCCACAGCCAAAAAUGAUUAAUACUGGAACCAGACUGAUUCGAUCUGGAAUCAUCUUUCCCCUUAACGAAGGAACGGAAGUGGAACAGUUGGAACAACUUGUGAAGAAGGAUUCCAUAAUCAGGCAGGAAUAUAUUGAUGUUCUGAAGCUCAAGCCUAGGGAUACCAAAAUCGUCCAUUACCUGCCCCACGUUUUUGCGGACGAGUCACUUAUUGGCUACAAUUACAAUGGAGUUAACGUUGUUGGCCAAACAAAACGCGCCAUGCGAAUGCACGACAUAUUCUCCAACUGCUUCAUGGAAGCGUACGAAGCGGAAGGACUUACAGACGUCGAGCUUGCCUUCCAGCUGACGUCGGCGAUCAAGCAAAGUCGAAACCGGAUGCGGCAGCGCAUGUUCCGCGCUAGGAAAAUUGUGAAAGCAAGUUGUGAAAAGAGAAAGCGAACUCCAUAACCAUCCUGCGGGUGGAAAGCGCUAGUGCAGAUGUAAAAAUAAAGAAUGAAACCAGACCUUUUCUUUUUAUUUAUCAUAUCUACAUACAGUACUAAAUUCUUCGAUUUCUCACUAACCACGCCCUAAUUCUCACCCCUUACAGGAAAACUCUUCACCAAGGAAAAGUCAGCGGAAGAAAACUUUUAUUUCGUCCGCACCGCCGACGGUCGUUAUAAAAUUCAGGCAAAUGCCCCAUCAUCAAAGAUCAAGAUUAAGAAGGAAAAAGCACAUCCACAGCCGAAAAUGAUUAAUACUGGAACCAGACUGAUUCGAUCUGGAAUCAUCUUUCCCCUUAACGAAGGAAAGUGGAACAGUUGGAACAACUUGUCAAGAAGGAUUCCACAAUCAGGCAGGAAUAUAUUGAUGUUCUGAAGCUCAAGCCUAGGGAUACCAAAAUCGUCAAUUUCGUGCACAACGUUUUCGCGGAUGAAUCACUCAUUGGCUACAAUUACAAUGGAGUUAACGUUGUUGGCCAAACAAAACGUGCCAUGCGAAUGUACGACAUAUUCUCCGACUGCUUCAUGGAAGCGUACGAAGCGGAAGGACUUACAGAUGUCGAGCUUGCCUUCCAGCUGACGUCGGCGAUCAAGCAAAGUCGAAACCGUAUGCGGCAGCGCAUGUUCCGUGCUAGGAAAAUUGUGAAAGCAAGUUGCGAAAAAAGAAAGGGAACUUCAUUUGAAACUUGAAGAGCUUUAGUGUACCCUAUUGACCCAAUUAUUAACAUUUUAGAGACUCUCAGUUUCUUUAUUGUUUUAGUGCUCUGAGUUUUUACGAUUAAUGAAUGGUAACAUGCUUACAUUUUUUUCAUCCUGAAGCAAGUUUAUUUUAUAUUCAAAUAAAUGAAUUGUAAUCACCCUUAAAUUGAUACACUUACUGUAAUGCAUAUUUCACCUUACCACUACCAUACCAUGCCUCAGAAGUACUUUAUUUGGUAGAAGUAAUGUUUUUUUUUUGUUAUCUGAAAAUAUUCAAAUCCACUUGCACACUUCCAAAUUCCAUUGAUCUUUUCAAAUAUCCUUCAAGUAAAACAUAAAAAAAUAAACAAUUAAAACGAAAUAAACUGUUAGAUUGUAUUCUUCAGCUAAACAAACUGCAAAUUUACAACAAAAAAUCUAUUUAUUUCUGGAUACUAACCAUGCCAACUCCUCCCCAUUCCAGAACAAGAGUUAGUGAUGAUAGAAAUCUGCUCCGAUGAUGACCAGAGCAAAGCUACAGUUUCCGCUGGAGGCAAUACUGCAAUAAGAUCACUUCGGUUAGCGGGAUUCACGUUUCCUCUGAAACGUGCAGAAGACAUCGAACGCUUGGAGAAAGCUGUCAGAGCAGAUCCAUUCAUUCGGAAAGAAUACAUUCGCUACGUGUCAUCUCAGGUGGGCGAUCAUCAUAAUAUUUCUACGAACAUCAGGAGGCUUUUCAGCGAUAGAUCUCUGGAGAAUUACACGUAUCAUGGGGUUAGCAAUCCGCAAUAUCCUCGGAAAGCAAUGAAAGACUACGAGAUCUUCACCAACUGUUUGCUAGUUGCUUGGGAGGACGAUGGCAUCACCGCGGAUGAACUCCGAAUGUCGCUUAUUAAGGCUACACAAAAAGCGAAGCAGCAUUUAUCGUCGGCUCGGUACUAUCAACGCUACCGGGAACAACUACUAGAGAAACGGAAAGCGAGUUGGAAGAGCAAAAAGUUUAGUUCCGAGUAGUUGCUAGUCGACUAUGUUUGGUGGUAAAAUUUUGAAAACGGAAGCUUGUGGCAAUAAAAUAUACAAUCGACCGUAAUUUAACAGUAUUCUUGUACUUCAUUGAUCAAAUUGCCGUCAAAACAUUUGUUAUCAAGUAUCUUUUUCAAAUACUAAAAGGUCCAAUGUCCCAUGUCGCUUCGACUAAAUCAACAGGAAUAUAUGUAAAAUUUACAAAACAUUGUAAUUAUAUUAUCAUUCCAUUACCAUGUCUCCAGCAUCUUAAAUUUCUCGUUACACAUAUUCCAUCAUAGUCUGAUUGUAUUACGUAUCAGUUACUAUUAUUUAAUAAUUGAUUAUAAUUUUCAACAUUUUCUACCCGUUAUAGUACCAUCCAAACAUCACAUGGCCGCCAAGCUCGGCUACACCCAGCGUGGGAAGACGUUGCUGCUGUACAACGGAUUCGCCUACGUCAAGGACCGCGAGGCCAUCAAAAGCUGCCACUGGAAGUGCUCGCUGUAUGGGAAGCUGAAGUGCCGUGCCAGAGCCGUCACCAAAACGGCGCUCGACGGCCAGUUGAUGAUGAAAAUCACCAAGUCGACCCAUAACCACGGCCAAGAUGCGUACAAAUUUGAACUUUCCACCGUGAAUAAACCUUGAUUCGGAUGUUAAUCGGUCGCGUUUUUCUUCAAAAGUGUACAAUAACACCGUGAUCACAAAACUAACCCUAUUUUCUGUACAUUCGUAGGUCUUUCUGGUGGGGCCUACUUUGGGAAAACCGCACAGGGCUGUCUUAUGUUGUGGUAUGGAAACUACGGGUAUUUCCGCGAGAAGCAGAAGCACAACACUACCAACUGGAAAUGUGCCUGCUACACCAAAAAUCACUGCAAGGCGCGGGCUGUAACUAAGGAAAUCGGCAGAGAGUACUACUUUCGGAUAACUUGUGAUGAACACACCCAUCCUCCUCCGUAUUCUAGCGACUGUUGGCGGGAAAAACGGAGAAACGAAGUGGCCCCGUUGACGUCGGUGGUGUACUGCAGUGGAAGGUGGUAGUGGCAAAACGGGGUACUAGAUUAUGAGUAUCGGAACAAUGAGUGUGAUAAUUAUCUGUACAUUUUAAUAAACAAUCAAGGACUGAAAGGUACAAAUUUGACCUUUCCACAGUUAAUAAACCUUUAUGAGGAUGUUAAUCGGCCACGUUUUUCUUCAAAAGUGUACCUAGAGUAACAUCGUGAUCACAGAACUAACCCUAUUUUCUGUACAUUCGUAGGUCUUUCUUGUGGGGCCUACUUUGGGAAAACCGCUCAGGGCUGUCUUAUGCUGAGGCAUGGAAAUUACGGGUAUUUCCGCGAGAAGCAGAGGCACAACACCACCAACUGGAAAUGUGCCUGCUACAACAAAUAUCGCUGCAAAGCACGGGCUGUGACGAAGGAAAUCGGUGGAUAGUACUACUUCCGGAUAACCUGUGAUGAACAUACCCAACCUCCGUAUUCAAGUGGCUAUUGGCGGGCAAAACGGAGAAACGAAGUGGCCCCGUUGACGUCGGUGGUGCACUGCAGUGGAAGGUGGUAGUGGAUAAAUGGGAUGUUUCGUAUAUACUAAACAAACGAGGAGCACCUCAGCUGUGCAUCAAUGGGUAUCCCUUCAUCCGUUCGAAAACAACCGAGGAUUACCAGUAUUGGACCUGCAGAGAAUACAAAGCUCUACGCUGCACGGCUCGGGCCGUUUCGAGUCGUCGAGAACGGAGGGGCGAUCCUACCGUCAAGCUACGGGGCGUUCACAAUCAUGUCAUUUUGGAGCGCCGUGAUGCAGAAGAAAAUGCUAAAGAUAUUUCGUUUACCCUUAAUAAACGAGGGGCGACUCAAUUAUGUGUCAAUGGAUACCCCUACAUCCGCUCCAAAACGACCGAGGAAUUCCAGUAUUGGUCCUGCAGCCAGUACAAAGUUUUACACUGUCCGGCGCGAGCCAUUUCCAGCCGCAGAAGGCAGGGCAAUACGCCCACGAUCAAGCUUCGGGGCACCCACAGUCACGGGAUCAUUUUGGAGCGCCGCAAACCAGGAGAAAGUGCCAAAUUGCUGAAACUGAACGCCAUGGAACGCCGGGAGAUGGAAAUGUUGCCAGAAAAGCGGAAACGAUUGUCAUCGGGAGCACCACCUCCACCGGUGGAAUGUGUUUUGGGAGGCGAUAAUCCAUCCUCGUCGAAGUGAAUUCGAAUGGUUGAAUAGGACAGAUCGGUGAAGUACUAGAUUUGUAGUAAUGAGCUAAAUUUUAUUAUGGUGAGAAGGUCUAUUCUCAGUUUCUGCAAUGAAAUGGGGCUAAAAGCGUGGGUAUUAUGAUUCCUUGCCUAAUUUGAUGCUGUUUGAGUAAAACUUUGGGCAACAGUGUUGUUGUUUUCUCCAUUUCUUGCAACAUAAACAACAAAGUUAUCCAAAGUUUUGCUCAAACAGCAUCAAAUUAGGCAAGGAAUCAUAAUACCCAUGUUUUUUGCACCAUUUCUUUGCAGAAACGGAGAAUUGACCUUCUCACCAUACAAAAAUUCUGCUCAAUACUACAAAUCUAGUACUACACCGAACGUACCCCAUUGUUCGUUCAGUGAUUCUAGUACUGCAGUUUGAAAUCGUCGUAUGUUAGUGGUUGUCGAGAUGGAGUUUUGCAUAAUUUUAUUAUUUAAUAAACUCGAAAUCUAAUAACACUUCUUUUUUGCUUAUAUUAUCAAAUUGAUCUAGUACUGCAGUUCUAAUAAUUGAAUGUAAUCGCUAUUUAAAUUUCAGAUAUUUCAUUCGUGAUUAGCAAACGCGGCAAAACUCAAUUAUGCGUCGAUGGUUAUUUGUACACUCGAGCAAAAACAACUGAAGAAUUACAAUUUGGACGUGCAAUCAGGAUAGGGUACUUGGAUGUUCUGCACGCGCAACUACCGGUCAUGGUAAGAAAGGAGAUCGGCCGUCCAUCAAACUGCGUGGAUUUCACAACCACAAAAUUAUCCAGGAGCGUCGGAAAGCCGGUGAAUGUGCCAAGCUGCGAGAGCAGUGCGCCCGCGAACGGAACGAGGAAGUGUUGCCACGGAAAAGGAAACGGCUGCCUCCGCUACCGUUGAAGUGUGUUCUGGUCACGGACAGUAAGGAAAAGACCUCUGUCGUGAAUAAGGAAAGCCAUUGAAAACGUUUAUUUAUUAUGAUAUGUAGUAAAAUAAGAUUAUUCUGUGAAGAGGGGCAAGGUUGCCAGGAACGCAAUCUUAAAAUCAUCUGUUUUACUUUUCCCUCAACACCUCUAUAACUUAAUAUUAGUCUAAUUAAUUCAUGUUACAAUUCAAUGUUUUAAUUCAUUUUCCAUUAUGCGAUUUGGUUGCAGUUUUUGAUUUAUAUUCGUUUCAGUUGCCUCAUAGGAAUUAGUUUUUUUUACAGUGUUCAGAGUUGACAGAAAAAAACUUAACUUUAAACUAUGGAAUUCAACAUUAUGAAAAUACGUAUGUUUUUCACAGAUGCUGUAGUCCAGUACAUCAAUGGCAAAAAGGGAACAUUUCCUCGGUUGAAAAUCGGUGGACAUUAUUUUACGAGGAGGCGUAUCUGCAAGACCAGCACCCGGUGGUAUUGUGUGAAGGAGCCGGCCCUGAAGUGUAACGUAACGAAGUCAACGCCAUGCGAUACUUUUGUACCGAUAAGGGAGUCCAAAAAUUGGAAUACGAGGGAUACCACUUCUGCAAACGAAGGACAAAGAAGCACUGCAUCCGUUGGUAUUGCACUAUGUGGCGUAGGAUGAACUGUACGGCACGGGUUACAACAAUCACUUCUAAUGGAGCAGUAUCGCAGUUUUGUAAUGAUCACAACCAUCUACCGACGGCGGAGUGUCCUAAAAUAAGUCGCAAGCGCAAGCGCAAAGCUUAGCACUUCUAUCACGAUUGUCAUCUGAUUUACUAUAUGCUCGAAACAGGAUCCCUGAAUCCAAAAUUAUAGUUUGAAGAAUCUUGAAUGUGAUAUGUAUUAGCUGUAUUGACGCCAUAUUUUUCUGAAUAUAAGAUCUCCAAUAAUCAUAAAGAAUGAGGUCUAAACACUAUUUUACAACCUUGAUAAAAGUACGAAUAAUGCAAAAAUCUAGUCUGAAAGGAAAAUAUUAAGCAUUAUUAAGUAUUAUGCAAUUGAUUCUUGAUGAUUUUUUCUGUUCGAUGAAACCACCUCAUUCUGUAUUUUGGUUGUUGUUAUAUUUCAGUACUCAAAAAUAAACAAAAAAAUAAAUUUGCCAACUCUGAAAAUAUACUGCCAGCAAAAUGUCAUGGUUUAUCAUUUAAAAAAUUUGCUAGUUUUGUUUCAUAUUUCUCAACACAAAAGUGAAAUUUUUUUGGAGUCGUUAUGAAUGAAUUUUAUUGCUGGAAAAUAAUUUUCAGGGCUGCCAGUUUUUUUUUUAUUUUUGUACAAAAGUGGCAUGAAACAAUAUGUAACUAUCGUAUCUUAUUACUAUAUUUGAUCGUAGAUUGGUUUUAUUUGUCUAAUGAUCCUCACGUUUUCUUUUAGACAUUUCAUUCGUCAUGAGCUGCCGGGGAAAAACUCAACUUAGCGUAAACGGUCAUCUUUACACUUGUGAUAAGAUAACCGACGACGCCAUGUACUGGUGUUGCAAUCAGCGCCGUGUUCUUGGCUGCACAGCUCGUGCUAAUACUGGACGUAAAAAGGUAGGAGAACAGCCAUCCAUCAAACUGCGCGGCUUUCACAAUCAUGGAAUUAUCGCUGAACGACGCCGACCCGGAGAAUAUGCCAGGCUGAAGGAGCAGUAUGACCGCAAACGGAAAGUGUUGCCAGAUGUGGAGCCUCGUCGCCCUGCCCUUUCCAGAUCUAAAAAGAAGCAAAACUGAAUCAAUUUUCUAUGCACUGUUUUGAUGUUCUAGUAUACAAUUGUGACCGUAGCUAUGUUUCAAAAUGCCCAAGUCACUAAUAUAUGUAGACUGACAAAUUUGUGAUUUUCUUUCUUGUGAUGCGCGCCUCGUAUGAAAUAUCAACACAUUCUCUAAGAGGUAUCAUAAACUUUGCAGAUAUUUCAUUCGUCAUAAGCGCACGUGGUAAAACUCAGCUGAACGUUAACGGAUAUCUCUACACGCGUGGCAAACUUCACGGCGACUUUCAGUACUGGUCAUGUAAUCAGUACAGAGUUUUAAGUUGCACAGCUCGUGCUUCGACGGUCCGCUGCAAACAGGGCGAGAAACCAACCAUAAAACUGCGUGGUUUCCACAACCAUCCGAUUAUAGUGGAGCGACGUCGGCCCGGAGAGUGCGCACGGUUGAAAGAGCUGUACGCUCCUGCAGCGAGGCAAGUGUUGCCAGACAGGAAGAAAUGUCAGCAGUCCCCCAAGCAGCAGGUGCCUCUGCCACCGAUCGAGCAAUGCUUUGUUAAGGAAGAGAAAUAACGAACGCGUUGUCGGGUGUGUGUGAAUGGAGGCUGUAAUAGGAUAAGUGUUAUGUUCGAUCUAGGACUGCUUCUGUUGUAGUUUGGUAUUGGGCAUAUCUUAUGAAUAAUUCUCUCUGAAACGCAAAACAUCAUUCAAGGAAGUUAUCUUAACAACACGGUUAGUUAUAAUGUAGCACUAAAAAAAAAACAAGAUUCCACAAAUAAGCUUUGAAAUUCUCCAAUAGGAAGCAAUCAGUGAAGUACUAGAUUGAAAGUAGUGAGCUGG
This is a long non-coding RNA of Aedes albopictus (Asian tiger mosquito), 11850 nucleotides long. RefSeq lists it as uncharacterized. Lineage: Eukaryota; Metazoa; Arthropoda; Insecta; Diptera; Culicidae. The record is from RefSeq and is a predicted model, not a curated record. The transcript is spliced from 18 exons.